Molecule: RNase MRP RNA, 383 nt
Filed under: Zancudomyces culisetae
Lineage: Eukaryota; Fungi; Kickxellomycota; Harpellomycetes; Harpellales; Legeriomycetaceae
Description: RNase MRP
Rfam family: RNase MRP
About the family: RNase MRP is an enzymatically active ribonucleoprotein with two distinct roles in eukaryotes. In mitochondria it plays a direct role in the initiation of mitochondrial DNA replication.
Source: Rfam by way of RNAcentral
AGACAACACGAAGAUUCGCUUUAUACAUCGGGGUUUUACUUAUGGGGUCAUCCUGCCUAUGGUGGGGUGUCUCUGUAUCGACCCUGGGGAAAGUCCCCGGACAAGUUUGGCAGAAAGUGCCAGCCGUAAAGGUAAACAUGCAGGUCUACUUCGAUUUCAACCGACAAUUCGUUCUCUUUUGGCGUAGAAGUGUGGAUGCUUCUGUUUCUGAAAAUGGAAUUUGAGUGUGUUUGCACCGAGCCUGGUUCGUUUUGGUUAAGGUUGGGAUGUUGUGAAAUGCCAAUUGUCAUAGCAAAGUUAUGCGAAAUUAGUGCUUUGAUAGAUAGAGAGUUUCUCUCUGUUUCUCACGCUCUAACCUCAACGGGGCUUACUCUUGUGUUGUU